Oryza sativa Indica Group (long-grained rice) is the source of this 189-nucleotide microRNA precursor. It matches the Rfam family "MIR812 microRNA precursor family". The record is from Rfam. NCBI's taxonomy places the organism in Eukaryota, Viridiplantae, Streptophyta, Magnoliopsida, Poales, Poaceae.
AAAAAAAAAAAACAUAGUUUUUGUGCCAAUGUUUGACUGUCCAUCUUAUAUAAAAUUUUUUAAUAAUUAGUAUUUUUAUUGUUGUUAGAUGAUAAAAUAUGAUUAAUACUUUAUACGUAACUUAUCUUUUUAAAUUUUUUUAUAAUUUUGUCAAAUAAAACGGACAGUCAAACGUUAGACACGGAAACC